GACGUAGGGUGCGAGCGUUGUCCGGAUUUAUUGGGCGUAAAGAGCUCGUAGGCGGCUCGUCGCGUCGACCGUGAAAACCCGCGGCUUAACUGCGGGCUUGCGGUUGAUACGGGCGGGCUAGAGUUCGGUAGGGGAGACUGGAAUUCCUGGUGUAGCGGUGAAAUGCGCAGAUAUCAGGAGGAACACCGGUGGCGAAGGCGGGUCUCUGGGCAACUACUGACGCUGAGGAGCGAAAGCGUGGGGAGCGAACAGG
This 253-nucleotide ribosomal RNA is filed under the name uncultured bacterium. RNAcentral's name for it is "partial 16S ribosomal RNA". It matches the Rfam family "Bacterial small subunit ribosomal RNA", at positions 524 to 776 of the family's 1533-position model. The record is from RNAcentral.